UGCUACGUUCGUCGCGCCAGUCAAACUCAGCGAUGAGCCAGGGAACCCGGUGAGAGUCCGGGACUGACGCGCAGCGGUGAGGGUGACGGGCGGGGCACGAAGCCACUGGACCGAGAGGUCUGGGAAGGCGCUCCGUCCGGUCGAUCCCGAGUCCGAAGACCUGCUGGCCCUCACGGCGACCG
Molecule: non-coding RNA, 182 nt
Filed under: Aeromicrobium choanae
Lineage: Bacteria; Bacillati; Actinomycetota; Actinomycetes; Propionibacteriales; Nocardioidaceae
Source: RNAcentral